Molecule: long non-coding RNA, 1074 nt
Organism: Bos indicus x Bos taurus (hybrid cattle)
Lineage: Eukaryota; Metazoa; Chordata; Mammalia; Artiodactyla; Bovidae
Product: cholinergic receptor muscarinic 1
Source: Ensembl
AUGAGGAGGGACCCCCGAGAGAGGAGGGGGCCAGGGAGGGGUCUAGAGGCCAAGGCUCUGCAACGCUGCUCCAAGUACCCCAUCUCCUGGCUUCUGGUGGAUACACCUAAUGUUUUUCUGGGGUUCAGCUGGAAAAGGAGCUGGGGAGCCCCUAGAACUCUGGACCCGGAGCCCAGAAGGGAUCAGCUUGCCAUGCAGCAGGCAGAGCCCCCAAGCCCCAGAGACAGUGUAGGGAGGGCAGGGGACCAAGAGGUAGCCCUUGCCACCAGAAUCUUUUGGGAGGUUGACCGCCCCCCCGACUGGGGUGCCAGUCUCAGAACCUCCUCCUCUCCUCCCUCAGGGAACCCUGACUCCCACCAUCCCCAUCCACCUUCAGCCCCUCCACGAUGGACUGAACCAGGCUGCUGGCCAGAUGGACAAGCGGGAUGCCAAGUCUUCGCAGGUCUUGUCCCAGGGAGCCGCUGGAGGCUACAGAACUGCCCCCAAGGCACCCAGGCUUGGGAUGUGGACGCCAGCACCCAGUCUGGGAACCAGGAGACCUUAGACUACACAAUACCUUUUUCUUUUUGCUCUGGGCCUCAGUUGCUCCAUUUCUGCAAUGGGCACAAACAGCACUGAGUCUAGAUGAUCAAAGGGAUCACAAUAGUUCAGGGUUACCUGUCAAGGGUAGUUUCCACCAGUGACCUCACAGGGAAAAGCCCAAGCACCUACAGUCUGAUCCCAGCCUCCUGCCUGACUUCCAUUAAGGGACGAGGUUGCAACAGAGCUCAGUAAGCAAGAUAAAUCAUAUUUUAGUGUAAUAUUUUUAGUUCAAAUUGGCAAACUAUGGCUCCUAAGCCAACAACCAGGGGGGUUUUAUAUUUAUUUUUAUCUAUUUACUUAUUUAGCUACACUAAAUAAGUGUAGUGUAGUAUAUUUAGCUACAGGGUCUUAGCUGUGGCAGGUGGAAUCUAGUUCCCUGACCAGGGAUCAAACCCAAGACCCCUGCGUUGGGAGCAUGGAGCUUAGCCACUGGACCACCUGACCAUCAGUUUUAUAAAUAAAGUUUCAUUGGAACUUACUGCUUGGGCUCCA